CCUACGGGGGUCAGCAGUGGGGAAUUUUGCGCAAUGCUCGUAAGAGUGACGCCGCGACGCCGCGUGAAUGACGAAGGCCUUCGGGUCGUAUAGUUCUUUCGACAGGGGAGAAAAUGCUUAUAAGUAACUGUGUAUGUAUUGACUGUACCUGUAUAUGCAGCCCCGGCUACCUCCAUGCCAGCAGCCGCGGUAAUACGGAGGGGGCGAGCGUUGUAUGAAGUGAAUGGGCUUAAAGAGCACGUAGUCGGUGUUGUACGUCAUUAGUCAAAGACUAGAGCUCAACUUUAGUAAGGCUAGUGAAACGAUAAGACUAGAGUAUCAGAGAGGAUUGCAGAAUUCCUGGUGUAGCGGUGAAAUGCGUAGAUAUCAGGAGGAAUACCGUUAGCGAAGGCGGCAAUCUG
RNAcentral lists this ribosomal RNA (401 nucleotides) under uncultured bacterium. RNAcentral's name for it is "partial 16S ribosomal RNA". It matches the Rfam family "Bacterial small subunit ribosomal RNA", at positions 338 to 731 of the family's 1533-position model. The record is from RNAcentral.